Molecule: microRNA precursor, 96 nt
Filed under: Nicotiana sylvestris (wood tobacco)
Lineage: Eukaryota; Viridiplantae; Streptophyta; Magnoliopsida; Solanales; Solanaceae
Also listed under: 1 other name
Description: MIR6152 microRNA precursor family
Rfam family: MIR6152 microRNA precursor family
Source: Rfam by way of RNAcentral
UGGAUAGAUUAUUGUAUUCGACUGUAUUCAUGGCGUGAAACAUGGGAUUACACUAUUUUUAAAAGAAAAGUGAAUCAAUUAACAUAAUAGACUCCU